CGUAGGGUGCAAGCGUUAAUCGGAAUUACUGGGCGUAAAGCGUGCGCAGGCGGUUAUGUAAGACAGAUGUGAAAUCCCCGGGCUCAACCUGGGAACUGCAUUUGUGACUGUAUAGCUAGAGUACGGUAGAGGGGGAUGGAAUUCCGCGUGUAGCAGUGAAAUGCGUAGAUAUGCGGAGGAACACCGAUGGCGAAGGCAAUCCCCUGGACCUGUACUGACGCUCGUGCACGAAAGCGUGGGGAGCAAACAGGAUUAGAUACCCUGGUAGUCCACGCCCUAAACGAUGUCAACUGGUUGUUGGGUCUUCACUGACUCAGUAACGAAGCUAACGCGUGAAGUUGACCGCCUGGGGAGUACGGCCGCAAGGUUG
Molecule: ribosomal RNA, 370 nt
Filed under: uncultured organism
Description: bacterial SSU rRNA
Rfam family: Bacterial small subunit ribosomal RNA
Source: RNAcentral